UACGUAGGUGGCAAGCGUUGUCCGGAUUUACUGGGCGUAAAGAGCGCGCAGGCGGUCGUUCAAGUCGCGUGUGAAAGCCCCCGGCUCAACUGGGGAGGGUCAGCGCGAUACUGAUCGACUCGAAGGCAGGAGAGGGAAGUGGAAUUCCCGGUGUAGUGGUGAAAUGCGUAGAUAUCAGGAGGAACACCUGCGGUGUAGACAGCUUACUGGACCACUUCUGACGCUGAGACACGAAAGCGUGGGUAGCAAACAGG
Molecule: ribosomal RNA, 254 nt
Filed under: uncultured bacterium
Lineage: Bacteria
Description: partial 16S ribosomal RNA
Rfam family: Bacterial small subunit ribosomal RNA
Source: RNAcentral